CACCCAUUCGUCUAAUGGUUCAGGACCCUACCCUUUCACGGUAGAAAUACGGGUUCGACUCCCGUAUGGGUGA
Molecule: transfer RNA, 73 nt
Filed under: Aureispira sp.
Lineage: Bacteria; Pseudomonadati; Bacteroidota; Saprospiria; Saprospirales; Saprospiraceae
Also listed under: 1 other name
Description: tRNA-Glu
Rfam family: tRNA
About the family: Transfer RNA (tRNA) molecules are approximately 80 nucleotides in length. Their secondary structure includes four short double-helical elements and three loops (D, anti-codon, and T loops).
Source: RNAcentral